GGUGGCGGAGCAGCGCUGGCUCGUCCCGCUUCGUGUCGGGAGGCCGGAGGUGGCUGCGCUGUGCCCGGUGUGAGGAAGAAGACACAACUUCGGGGUUCAAAUAAACUAGGGUGUUUAUUAAGGGAAAAAAAAAAAAACCAAACCCAAAACAAAGGGAAGGAAAGGAUAAUGGGUGAGUGAGUAAAAAAGAAAGGAAAUAAAAAAAGUCCCGGGUCUGAGGAUUGAGGAAUCCUCUGGCUGAACCGGCGUUUUCGUCCCAACGCAAGAACUCAGCGGCACUGCAGUGAAUGCAGCUAAUCUGCACUCAAAUUUAUAUUAAAAAAAAUCUCUAAAAGAGAUGUAGACCGUGGUCUUCAGUGUCUGAAUCUGCUGCCGCUAAUCCACAGUUAAAAGGGCAGUUCUUCGACUCUCGUAGCUCCUUUUAUAAUCUCUGUCCCCACAGUUUGUUGCUGGCAGUCCCACCCCUACAGUUUCUGUUGAUUGGUGCUGGUAAAAAACCUUCUCCUCCAAGUCUGCUGUCCUUGGUGGUAACUGAGGUUUUCGGCGGGAAAGUUCUUCAUUAGUGUGCACUGUUGUUGUGGCGUCAAGCUACAAGUCCUCUGGAGCAGGCUCAAAAUUCUUUGUAAGAUGCUGCAUGCUGCUGGCGAGGGGAUUUGCUUUGAAGCCCUCGAAAGUGACAAACUUAAAAGGGAUUAUUAAACUCACAAAUAAUAUAUCAAUAGCAACAAAUAAUUGAGUAAGGGACCACAAAAAUAGGGACAAUGCUUAUGGCAAUUGACAGUCUCGUUGGCAGAACUAUCAAACAUUCAACUGUAACGCACAAAAAACCCCAACCAGUACAAUUCUACAAUGACCGAAUUCUAAACAGCAACUUCAAACAAUCCCACAUGCAAAAGCCAGUCGAGGGGUUUUAUAGAUGACACCGGGACUGUUCUUGGCUAUGCAGGACCAGACUGACAGCCCCUGGUGCGGCGAGAGAUGUCCCUCCCCGGGGCUAAGAUGGGACGGGACGGGAUGAACUUGAACGUCGCUCACAACCGAAAGCACUCUGAGAGUGAGAGACACACGGGGUCAGUAGGGGAAGAAAACACUUCUCGCACGGUUUCCCGAAGGUUAAGCCAAGCAAAUUCUGCUUUUUCUGCCAGGCCCUGCCUCUCCUGUUUCCAAACAGGGACACAAAGUGCGAUGCCAGCGCUCAGUGUCCCUGGGCUCCAACCCGCCAGGACAGGGGCUGGCAGCAAGAGAGACAAGGGACAAUCCUUGUCCUCCUCAGGAGGUUGAUCCCGAUUCACAGCUGCCCUGUGUAGGCACUCGGCAGCUCCCAGACCUUGUUACCGCCUGUCCCAGCCCAGAGCUCGUCUGCAGCAGCUGCAGAGCCAGAGGGGGCCGGAGUUCCUGGAGUCUGCACUUGUGCUGCAGAUGCUGCUGCAGCGUCCUCGAGCAGCAGGGACAGGGCAGGACUGGCCCGGCACUGCCGUCCUGUGCCUGGAGAACCGCAGGGCCGGAACCAGCCGGGGUGGGUCUCUCUUCAUGGGCCAUUAAUCUUCAGUCUUUGUCAUUGCGAAACUCUUUCUGGGUCGGAACCCUGAAAGGCUUUUUCAGCACUGUUGAUGUCUCAGGAAACCAGUGUUUUUUAUUCCAAGCAAAGAGAGCCCAGCUGUGAGCUGGAGGAGAGGGAAUCCUGCUCCACACACAGCAUAUUGUGAUUGAGUUCCCGGGUCUCCAGCAUGUCAGCAGCCAGGGUUGCACACUUGCCUCGGGAGAAAGAAGCCACUUCUCCUAAGCAGAAAGGUGUUGCUGCCGAGUGUGCAAUGGAUGAAGAUGUGGAGAAUGAGCUCUGCUGCAGCACUGGGAGUGUGAAGAAGCGCCUGAAGACUGAGAACAGAUCAGAAGCUAUGAAUGUAAGGAAGAAAACCCUACAGUUUCUGGGCCAGUGGACCAGAUCCAGUCCCAAGGUGGCCCUGGCCCUGGCUGUGCUUGUGAUCCUGGUCCUGACUUUGUUGAUGAACUUGGUUUUGCAGUCAGGGGGAAGACAAACAGAAAUUCCAGUUGUUCCUGACACUUCAUAGCUGCUGGCCUGUCCAGAUGGAUGGAUCGGGUACCGCAGGAUCUGCUACUUCCUCUCAAAGGAUCACCGCACCUGGGAUCAGGGUCAGGCUCAAUGCUCUAAGCUUGGGGCCUCCCUAGCUGUGCUCAGGGAUGAGGAAAUGGAGUUCCUCUGACCUCAGUGGGAAAGUUGAUUACUGGCUCGGGCUUCGCAGACUGGGAGAGCAGCUUCAGUGGGUGGAUGGCAGCAGCUUCAAAUCCUCGGUUCCUGUCCUGGGCAAUGGAGUGUGUGUGUACCUGGCUGAGAAUAAACUCAGGAGCAUAUUCUGCUCAAAUCCAAUGCCCUAUCUCUGCAGCAGACCCCAAACUCACUUGUAACAGGGGUUGGACAAAGCACCUUCUCCACACUUGGCAGUCACAGCUUCACCUCUUCCCUCCCAGCCCUGGGAUGCCUUUCCUCAGCUGCAGCGUCAGCCUUGCACAGACCCUUGGGGUCACCUCAGUGCCUGAUCUUGUGAACAUCUCAGUGUUUGCUCUCAGGGUCACCUUGAUAGUAGAAGGUCUUAAAAUCUUAGAAAAUUCAGGGACUUAGAAAGAAAGUUAGGUUUGGAAAGCCCUGGGAAAAGUAGGCCCUGGGAAAUGUUAGGCCUUGUGCUUGCUAAAGAUCAGGUGAAACUGCACCUGUGUAAUCAGUAGAUGAUCAUGAUACAAUUGUUAGAUGUGAUUAGAUAUAAUUAUUGUUUAAAGAACAUGAGGAACAAUGUUAGGGGGCUGAGGGGAAUCACGAGAAAUCCAUGCUUAGGUAAAAAAAAUGCUUAACAAUAGAACAAUAUAAGUUUAAUAAUCAAUAUGUAAGUUAUAUAAUGAUAGAAUAUAAAAACAUGUUCAACUCAAAACCAAGUUGGGUCAGAUUUGGGUAUGUGUACCCCUGACACCCAGAGCUCUUCAAUAAAGCAACUUCAUAUAAUCAUUCUGUGAUUAUGUGUGUUCCUGAACGCUAACAACCUCAGUGCCAGGUCUCCAGGAGAUGAACCUGCAGGAAGAGGACAUGAUGUGCAAGCUGAUGUGUGGCUGCCUGGGCUGGGGCUGGGAGUUUCUUUCUCCUUCUGGAGCCACUCCAGGACUUACCCUGUUUCUAUUGCACUGCACAUUUAUACACUAACCUUUUAUGUCUAUGUCAUGGGGUUACUUUACCUUUAAGAAAGUUAAAGUUGCUGGGGACUGCCGGGAGUCUUUUCUCAUGACCAAUUAUCGGUCAUUGCUGAGAAUUGACAGCAGUUUUAGCCAUUGAAAAGUGGAAUCAACUUGUGAACCCCACCUUAAAGUGUACAACCAGAACUCUGUGGUUCUCUUUGUUUUCUGGCUGUGAAAGGUAGCAGAGCUUCGGCCUCUCGGUCUCUGCGCGGCCACGUGGCCGGGCGGGGGCCGGGCUGGGCCUGCCGUUCUGCCAGCCGGGAGAUGGGGCCUGCGGGAGCUUGCUCUGAGCCAAGCUAGGCCAGGCCGGUUCCUGGCUUGGCUGCAGGUUUUGCCGUGAUGGAAUUUACCAGAAAACUGUCGAGUAAAGAAGGAGAAGAGCUCUAAGCCUGCUGCAAGCAGAGACGGUGACUAUGCUCUCCAGAGCAGCUAUGAGGAACUUUUCAUCGCAGACAGCUCCAGCUCCUGUUCAGCAGAGAUCACCGAACCAUCUACAAAAGCUUGGGCAAGAUUUUAACUCUUUCUUAUUCAGAUGAGACUUGCGGAUUAAUCUUUUUAUCCAGAGAGAGAAAAGGAGAGUGAUCAACAUGAAAAGAGACUUUAUAAACUACUAGUGGCAAG
Molecule: long non-coding RNA, 3861 nt
Organism: Poecile atricapillus (Black-capped chickadee)
Lineage: Eukaryota; Metazoa; Chordata; Aves; Passeriformes; Paridae
Exons: 5
Source: RefSeq, a predicted model, not a curated record